This 465-nucleotide ribosomal RNA is filed under the name Vreelandella stevensii. RNAcentral's name for it is "partial 16S ribosomal RNA". It matches the Rfam family "Bacterial small subunit ribosomal RNA", at positions 338 to 795 of the family's 1533-position model. Lineage: Bacteria; Pseudomonadati; Pseudomonadota; Gammaproteobacteria; Oceanospirillales; Halomonadaceae. The record is from RNAcentral.
CCUACGGGUGGCAGCAGUGGGGAAUAUUGGACAAUGGGCGAAAGCCUGAUCCAGCCAUGCCGCGUGUGUGAAGAAGGCCUUCGGGUUGUAAAGCACUUUCAGUGGGGAAGAAAGCCUUGGGGCUAAUACCCUCGAGGAAGGACAUCACCCACAGAAGAAGCACCGGCUAACUCCGUGCCAGCAGCCGCGGUAAUACGGAGGGUGCGAGCGUUAAUCGGAAUUACUGGGCGUAAAGCGCGCGUAGGCGGUCUGAUAAGCCGGUUGUGAAAGCCCCGGGCUCAACCUGGGAACGGCAUCCGGAACUGUCAGGCUAGAGUGCAGGAGAGGAAGGUAGAAUUCCCGGUGUAGCGGUGAAAUGCGUAGAGAUCGGGAGGAAUACCAGUGGCGAAGGCGGCCUUCUGGACUGACACUGACGCUGAGGUGCGAAAGCGUGGGUAGCAAAUAGGAUUAGAUACCCUUGUAGUC